RNAcentral lists this ribosomal RNA (469 nucleotides) under Oxalobacteraceae bacterium. RNAcentral's name for it is "bacterial SSU rRNA". It matches the Rfam family "Bacterial small subunit ribosomal RNA", at positions 391 to 853 of the family's 1533-position model. Lineage: Bacteria; Pseudomonadati; Pseudomonadota; Betaproteobacteria; Burkholderiales; Oxalobacteraceae. The record is from RNAcentral.
GCAAUGCCGCGUGAGUGAAGAAGGCCUUCGGGUUGUAAAGCUCUUUUGUCAGGGAAGAAACGGUGAGCUCUAAUACAGUUUGCUAAUGACGGUACCUGAAGAAUAAGCACCGGCUAACUACGUGCCAGCAGCCGCGGUAAUACGUAGGGUGCAAGCGUUAAUCGGAAUUACUGGGCGUAAAGCGUGCGCAGGCGGUUUUGUAAGUCUGUCGUGAAAUCCCCGGGCUCAACCUGGGAAUGGCGAUGGAGACUGCAAGGCUAGAGUUUGGCAGAGGGGGGUAGAAUUCCACGUGUAGCAGUGAAAUGCGUAGAUAUGUGGAGGAACACCGAUGGCGAAGGCAGCCCCCUGGGUCAAAACUGACGCUCAUGCACGAAAGCGUGGGGAGCAAACAGGAUUAGAUACCCUGGUAGUCCACGCCCUAAACGAUGUCUACUAGUUGUCGGGUCUUAAUUGACUUGGUAACGCAGCU